GGCAAGGUGGCCGAGUGGUCUAAGGCGCACGGUUCAGGCUUUACCUGAUCCUUCAGAUUUCCCUCUAAGUUUCCGUGUAUCGAAAGGUGCGUGGGUUCGAAUCCCACCCUUGUCA
Molecule: transfer RNA, 115 nt
Organism: Aspergillus nidulans FGSC A4
Lineage: Eukaryota; Fungi; Ascomycota; Eurotiomycetes; Eurotiales; Aspergillaceae
Rfam family: tRNA
About the family: Transfer RNA (tRNA) molecules are approximately 80 nucleotides in length.
Source: Rfam